RNAcentral lists this ribosomal RNA (164 nucleotides) under Oryza latifolia. Its description in RNAcentral is "5.8S ribosomal RNA". It matches the Rfam family "5.8S ribosomal RNA". Rfam says of the family: 5.8S ribosomal RNA (5.8S rRNA) is a component of the large subunit of the eukaryotic ribosome. It is transcribed by RNA polymerase I as part of the 45S precursor that also contains 18S and 28S rRNA. Lineage: Eukaryota; Viridiplantae; Streptophyta; Magnoliopsida; Poales; Poaceae. The record is from RNAcentral.
CACACGACUCUCGGCAACGGAUAUCUAGGCUCUCGCAUCGAUGAAGAACGUAGCGAAAUGCGAUACCUGGUGUGAAUUGCAGAAUCCCGUGAACCAUCGAGUCUUUGAACGCAAGUUGCUCCCGAGGCCAUUCGGCCGAGGGCACGCCUGCCUGGGCGUCACGC